Molecule: ribosomal RNA, 560 nt
Filed under: uncultured bacterium
Lineage: Bacteria
Description: partial 16S ribosomal RNA
Rfam family: Bacterial small subunit ribosomal RNA
Source: RNAcentral
UGGGGAAUUUUGGACAAUGGGCGAAAGCCUGAUCCAGCAAUGCCGCGUGUGUGAAGAAGGCCUUCGGGUUGUAAAGCACUUUUGUCCGGAAAGAAAUCCUUGGCUCUAAUACAGUCGGGGGAUGACGGUACCGGAAGAAUAAGCACCGGCUAACUACGUGCCAGCAGCCGCGGUAAUACGUAGGGUGCAAGCGUUAAUCGGAAUUACUGGGCGUAAAGCGUGCGCAGGCGGUUUGCUAAGACCGAUGUGAAAUCCCCGGGCUCAACCUGGGAACUGCAUUGGUGACUGGCAGGCUAGAGUAUGGCAGAGGGGGGUAGAAUUCCACGUGUAGCAGUGAAAUGCGUAGAGAUGUGGAGGAAUACCGAUGGCGAAGGCAGCCCCCUGGGCCAAUACUGACGCUCAUGCACGAAAGCGUGGGGAGCAAACAGGAUUAGAUACCCUGGUAGUCCACGCCCUAAACGAUGUCAACUAGUUGUUGGGGAUUCAUUUCCUUAGUAACGUAGCUAACGCGUGAAGUUGACCGCCUGGGGAGUACGUCGCAAGAUUAAAACUCAAAUGAA